CCUACGGGAGGCAGCAGUGAGGAAUAUUGGACAAUGGGCGCAAGCCUGAUCCAGCCAUGCCGCGUGCAGGAAGAAGCAUCUAUGGUGUGUAAACUGCUUUUGUACGGGAAGAAACACUCCUUCGUGAAGGAGCUUGACGGUACCGUAAGAAUAAGGAUCGGCUAACUCCGUGCCAGCAGCC
RNAcentral lists this ribosomal RNA (181 nucleotides) under uncultured bacterium. Its description in RNAcentral is "partial 16S ribosomal RNA". It matches the Rfam family "Bacterial small subunit ribosomal RNA", at positions 338 to 516 of the family's 1533-position model. The record is from RNAcentral.